Molecule: ribosomal RNA, 450 nt
Filed under: uncultured bacterium
Lineage: Bacteria
Description: partial 16S ribosomal RNA
Rfam family: Bacterial small subunit ribosomal RNA
Source: RNAcentral
GUGGGGAAUUUUGGACAAUGGGCGAAAGCCUGAUCCAGCCAUGCCGCGUGCAGGAUGAAGGCCUUCGGGUUGUAAACUGCUUUUGUACGGAACGAAAAGACUUCUUCUAAUACAGGAGGUCCAUGACGGUACCGUAAGAAUAAGCACCGGCUAACUACGUGCCAGCAGCCGCGGUAAUACGUAGGGUGCAAGCGUUAAUCGGAAUUACUGGGCGUAAAGCGUGCGCAGGCGGUUAUAUAAGACAGAUGUGAAAUCCCCGGGCUCAACCUGGGAACUGCAUUUGUGACUGUAUAGCUAGAGUACGGUAGAGGGGGAUGGAAUUCCGCGUGUAGCAGUGAAAUGCGUAGAUAUGCGGAGGAACACCGAUGGCGAAGGCAAUCCCCUGGACCUGUACUGACGCUCAUGCACGAAAGCGUGGGGAGCAAACAGGAUUAGAUACCCCUGUAGUCC